This 274-nucleotide long non-coding RNA is filed under the name Trifolium pratense (red clover). RNAcentral describes it as "long non-coding RNA (TPRA_LNC008404)". Lineage: Eukaryota; Viridiplantae; Streptophyta; Magnoliopsida; Fabales; Fabaceae. The record is from RNAcentral.
CUUGGUUGCUUAGUUUGGUAUCAUCAUACGAUUCACUCACUCACUCAAUCAAUGAAUGUGUGCUUUGCUUUGUGCCUUCCUUCCUUCCUUCCUUCCUUCCUUCGAUUACUUACUUUACUGAUUCUAUUUCCAUUCCUUCAAAGCUGUUAUUAUAUAUAUAAUCUCUACACAACAACGCAACAGAACUUCAAAUACAUUUGCUACUACAAAAUUUAUUCCACAAAUUUAAAAAGGAAGGAAGAAGAUUCAUUGUUCAUUCAUACUGCAAAUAAUA